UACGUAGGGUGCGAGCGUUGUUCGGAAUUACUGGGCGUAAAGGGCGCGUAGGCGGCCUGUUAAGUCGAACGUGAAAUCCCCGGGCUCAACCCGGGAACUGCGCCCGAUACUGGCAGGCUUGAAUCCGGGAGAGGGAUGCGGAAUUCCAGGUGUAGCGGUGAAAUGCGUAGAUAUCUGGAGGAACACCGGUGGCGAAGGCGGCAUCCUGGACCGGCAUUGACGCUGAGGCGCGAAAGCCAGGGGAGCGAACGGG
This 253-nucleotide ribosomal RNA is filed under the name uncultured bacterium. Its description in RNAcentral is "partial 16S ribosomal RNA". It matches the Rfam family "Bacterial small subunit ribosomal RNA", at positions 524 to 776 of the family's 1533-position model. The record is from RNAcentral.